AUGGGAACGCGAAGAACCUUACCUAGACUUGACAUCUUCUGCAUUAAUCGUAAUGGAUGAAAUCCCUUCGGGGACAGAAUGACAGGUGGUGCAUGGUUGUCGUCAGCUCGUGUCGUGAGAUGUUGGGUUAAGUCCCGCAACGAGCGCAACCCCUAUUAUUAGUUGCUAACAUUAAGUUGAGCACUCUAGUGAGACUGCCCGGGUUAACCGGGAGGAAGGUGGGGAUGACGUCAAAUCAUCAUGCCCCUUAUGUCUAGGGCUACACACGUGCUACAAUGGUGGGAACAAAGAGAUGCAAUACCGCAAGGUGGAGCUAAACUCAAAACCCCAUCCCAGUUCGGAUUGUAGGCUGAAACUCGCCUACAUGAAGCUGGAGUUGCUAGUAAUCGCGAAUCAGAAUGUCGCGGUGAAUACGUUCCCGGGUCUUGUACACACCG
This 437-nucleotide ribosomal RNA is filed under the name uncultured bacterium. RNAcentral describes it as "bacterial SSU rRNA". It matches the Rfam family "Bacterial small subunit ribosomal RNA", at positions 954 to 1392 of the family's 1533-position model. The record is from RNAcentral.